This 655-nucleotide ribosomal RNA is filed under the name uncultured Alphaproteobacteria bacterium. RNAcentral's name for it is "bacterial SSU rRNA". It matches the Rfam family "Bacterial small subunit ribosomal RNA", at positions 46 to 748 of the family's 1533-position model. The record is from RNAcentral. Lineage: Bacteria; Pseudomonadati; Pseudomonadota; Alphaproteobacteria.
GCCUAACACAUGCAAGUCGAACGAGGGCUUCGGCCCUAGUGGCGCACGGGUGAGUAACGCGUGGGAACCUGCCCUGUGGUACGGAAUAACUCCGGGAAACUGGAGCUAAUACCGUAUGCGUCCUUUGGGACAAAGAUUUAUCGCCAUGGGAUGGGCCCGCGUAGGAUUAGCUUGUUGGUGGGGUAACGGCCUACCAAGGCAACGAUCCUUAGCUGGUCUGAGAGGAUGAUCAGCCACACUGGGACUGAGACACGGCCCAGACUCCUACGGGAGGCAGCAGUGGGGAAUAUUGGACAAUGGGCGCAAGCCUGAUCCAGCAAUGCCGCGUGAGUGAUGAAGGCCUUCGGGUUGUAAAGCUCUUUCGCACGCGACGAUGAUGACGGUAGCGUGAGAAGAAGCCCCGGCUAACUUCGUGCCAGCAGCCGCGGUAAUACGAAGGGGGCUAGCGUUGUUCGGAAUUACUGGGCGUAAAGGGCGCGUAGGCGGUACUUCAAGUCAGGCGUGAAAGCCCCGGGCUCAACCUGGGAACCGCGCUUGAGACUGGAGAACUAGAGUUCGGGAGAGGAUGGUGGAAUUCCCAGUGUAGAGGUGAAUUCGUAGAUAUUGGGAAGAACACCGAUGGCGAAGGCAGCCAUCUGGACCGACACUGACGCUG